Molecule: long non-coding RNA, 254 nt
Organism: Centruroides sculpturatus (bark scorpion)
Lineage: Eukaryota; Metazoa; Arthropoda; Arachnida; Scorpiones; Buthidae
Exons: 2
Source: RefSeq, a predicted model, not a curated record
UUGAUGUUUUAUUAAUUUAAUUUUAUUGUUGAAAUAUUAAAUUUUAUAUUUUAUUUAACAGCACGCUCUUAAUAAAUAUAAGGAGAUGUGCCCUUCAUUUAUUGAUUCCAGAGAAUGCAAAUUGUUAACGACACUCAUACAGAAAUUGGAAGAACAAGAUCUAGAUGGAUUUACAGAUGCAGUGAAAGAUUAUGAUUCAAUAUCCAGAUUGGAUCAGUGGUAUACCACUAUACUCUUGCGGAUAAAAAAGUCAA